UGGGAUUAUAGGCAUAUACAACUCGUGGCA
This 30-nucleotide non-coding RNA is filed under the name Mus musculus (house mouse). Lineage: Eukaryota; Metazoa; Chordata; Mammalia; Rodentia; Muridae. The record is from RNAcentral.